CUCACUUUCCCCUUGGGGAGUAGGAACCGAUGCCAGUGGGAGGGAUGUGCCCCUGACCAUUAACGACUGCCUUUCUUUUUUUUUUUUUUUUUUAAGAAUGAAGCUGUUAGGGAGGGAAAUGCACACAAUGUGAAACAGACAAAAUGCAUUUCACUUGUAGUGUAAAGUGGCCACUAUGAAUCCCUAUAUAUAAGAGGAGGCUGGCUGCAGCUUCAGUCACAGAAUGGGGACUGUGGAAGAUGGAGCAGGGGCUGAUUUUCUCUGCACAUUUUGGCUGUUAGACCUGUGUGUAUGGGUUUAAAAAACCAGAAGUCAGUGCUCACUUUUUGUAUUUAAAUAUUAAAAAUGAUUCCAA
This is a long non-coding RNA of Sapajus apella (tufted capuchin), 355 nucleotides long. RefSeq lists it as uncharacterized. NCBI's taxonomy places the organism in Eukaryota, Metazoa, Chordata, Mammalia, Primates, Cebidae. The transcript is spliced from 2 exons. The record is from RefSeq and is a predicted model, not a curated record.